UGAGUGCGAGCUGCUACGGCAGCGAAGUUGGUGACGUCAAGCUUCCAAGAAAAGCCCUAUACCCGUUAAGGCAUCAUGGCCUGUACCCGAAACCGACACAGGUGGGGUGGUAGAGAAUACCGAGGGGCGCGAGGUAACUCUCUCUAAGGAACUCGGCAAAAUGGCCCCGUAACUUCGGGAGAAGGGGUGCCACCGCGAGGUGGUCGCAGUGAAGAGGCCCAGGCGACUGUUUACCAAAAACACAGGUCUCCGCUAAGUCGCAAGACGAUGUAUGGGGGCUGACGCCUGCCCAGUGCCGGAAGGUUAAGGAAGCUGGUCAGCGCAAGCGAAGCUGGCGACUGAAGCCCCGGUGAACGGCGGCCGUAACAAUAACGGUCCUAAGGUAGCGAAAUUCCUUGUCGGGUAAGUUCCGACCCGCACGAAAGGCGUAACGAUCUGGGCGCUGUCUCGGAGAGAGGCUCGGCGAAAUAGAAUUGUCUGUGAAGAUGCGGACUACGUGCACCCGGACAGAAAGACCCUAUGAAGCUUUACUGUAGCUUGGUAUUGUGCCCGGGCUCUGAAUGCGCAGGAUAGGUGGGAGGCUUUGAUCAUCGGCUUGCGGGUCGAUGUGAGCCAACGGUGAGAUACCACUCUUUCAGAGCUAGGGUUCUAACAGUCACCCGUUAUCCGGGGACUGGACAGUAUCAGGUGGGCAGUUUGACUGGGGCGGUCGCCUCCUAAAAGGUAACGGAGGCGCGCAAAGGUCUGCUCAGGCUGGUUGGAAAUCAGCCGACGAGUGUAAAAGCAGAAGCAGGCUUGACUGUGAGACCUACAAGUCGAACAGGGAGGAAACUCGGCUUUAGUGAUCCGACGGUUCUGCGUGGAAGGGCCGUCGCUCAACGGAUAAAAGUUACUCUAGGAUAACAGGCUGAUCUCCCCCAAGAGUUCACAUCGACGGGGAGGUUUGGCACCUCGAUGUCGGCUCAUCGCAACCUGGGGCUGAAGUCGGUCCCAAGGGUUGGGCUGUUCGCCCAUUAAAGCGGUACGCGAGCUGGGUUCAGAACGUCGUGAGACAGUUCGGUCCAUAUCCGGUGCAUGCGCAAGAAUAUUGAGAGGAGUUCUCCCUAGUACGAGAGGACCGGGAGGAACGCACCUCUGGUGUACCAGUUAUCGUGCCAACGGUAAACGCUGGGUAGCCAUGUGCGGAGAGGAUAACCGCUGAAAGCAUCUAAGUGGGAAGCCCACCUCAAGAUGAGUAUUCCCAUGGCGUUAGCCAGUAAGGUCACGGGAAGAACACCCGUUGAUAGGCUCUAUGUGGAAGCGCAGUAAUGCGUGAAGCAGAGGAGUACUAAUAGACCGAGGGC
RNAcentral lists this ribosomal RNA (1343 nucleotides) under metagenome. Its description in RNAcentral is "bacterial LSU rRNA". It matches the Rfam family "Bacterial large subunit ribosomal RNA", at positions 1564 to 2912 of the family's 2925-position model. The record is from RNAcentral.